AGAGGUAUGGCUCAGUGGUAGAGCACCUGCCUAACAAGUACAAGGCCCGAGUUCAAAACCCAGUAUUACCA
Molecule: transfer RNA, 71 nt
Filed under: Dipodomys ordii (Ord's kangaroo rat)
Lineage: Eukaryota; Metazoa; Chordata; Mammalia; Rodentia; Heteromyidae
Rfam family: tRNA
About the family: Transfer RNA (tRNA) molecules are approximately 80 nucleotides in length. Their secondary structure includes four short double-helical elements and three loops (D, anti-codon, and T loops).
Source: Rfam by way of RNAcentral